Molecule: long non-coding RNA, 1081 nt
Filed under: Marmota monax (woodchuck)
Lineage: Eukaryota; Metazoa; Chordata; Mammalia; Rodentia; Sciuridae
Source: RNAcentral
CCACAACUGGUAUCAGUCAUGCUUAAUGAGUUUCAGAGAGUAUGGAAUCUGCUGGAAGGAAUAAAUUUUCUGAAGGCAUUUUUCUUAGGUGUUGUGACCUGUGGCCUGCAAUCUUGAUAAGAUCGUUAGUCAGGCCUACCUGAAGAUGGAAUCUAGCCCCUAAUGUGUCACUAAUGAUGAAAUGACAUGAAGAAACUUGUUGAAUAUAGGGCUUUCAAAGAGUCGCUUUAUUCUGGUAUUCAAAAAGCUUUCUUGGUAAUUUAUUAAGUAUUCAUGUGGCUUUUCAAUGCUUUUUACAGGUCAGACAGCUUUCAUGCAGUUGACUAAAUCCUUAGAGAAACAGUCAUUAUAAUUUAUUUUUAAUUUUUAUACCCCACUUUGUUUCAAAUGAUACUUAAAGCAAGAUAGAUAUAAUCAUACUGUAACUUCAGAGAUGGGAUAUUAGGUAUUGGUUGAGUUCAUAGAACAAUGAAGUGGCAAAAAAUUGAUUUCAAACUAAAAUCUGUAUCCCUGUUCCCUGUUUUGUGCAAGACUAAAUUUAGUUCUAUAAAGUGAAAUAAUUUUGAGUGUAUAGUGUCUUUAGAAGUAGUGUUUUAGAUAACAGGAUUGUGAACUACUAUAAAUAGAAAAAUGCUAUGGGUAAGCAUCGGUACUUACUUACCAUAUUUCCCAGCAUUUGACUUUUAGAAAUAUUGGGAUUUAGAUUUUGAGUUGAUAUUUUUCAUGCUUAGUCUCUGCCUAAAGGUGAUUUUAUUUUCUGGAACAUAUAAUUAAAAGCAAUGCAUGAAUGGAAAAUAGUUUUUGUUUUCCAUUUUAACCGAAAUUUUGGGCUCUUUUUGUAUUUGGAUAAAUUGAAGGGCCAACUUUAAGAGCUGAGAUGUUGCGUGUGUCUAGUUUUACUUAGAAAGAAACUGUUGGCAUGUGUGUGAUGGAAAAGCUAAAUACCACGGCUGACAAACAACUGAAAAACAGCAUUUGAGUGACAAAUCAAAUGAAAUUUUGCAUUGUAAAAAUCCUUGAUCUGUGUGUGUCUUUGUAAAACUGAAUGCUUCCUUGAAAGAUAAUUAAAUUUCCAUUAUUC